AGUAACAUUGCGUACAGUGCAAAAAGUCAGAAUCCAAUCAUGAGUUGGACUGGACUAUUCUGACGUAAAAUUGGAAAAAAACAGCUCCCUUGUUGUCACGGUUGUCACCUUGGCCUUAGAUUUCCAUGGAAAUAGCAAAAAAUAAAUGACAGGAGGCGAAGCUGAAAAGUUUGACCUUUUUUCACUCUGAAGAAAUAAUUCAUUUGAACAAGAAGUCAAUUUGAUUUAGGGAAGUUUAAUAUUUAUAAAUUAAUAAAAGUAGCAGUUAGUAUUUUUGCAACAGUUUUCGUAGUGAAAUAAUUCACUUUCAUUGUACCGCACACAGCUACACUGAAUCUGUCCAGCUUCUCCCGUAGGUGAGCACUGUCCCGCUGUUUGCUACCAGGAAGUAGCCUUCUUUGGUCCUUGCUCAGGUGAGCACUGGCCUGUUGUUUGGUACCAGUUUUAUAGUUGAAAUACCGAUACACAGCAACAUGAUACGCACUCCACCCAACCAACUGAAUUCAAAUGUCCAAGACGGGGAAACAGGUGCAAAUAAUCAGGACAGAGAAUGAAUCUGUCGUACCUCGAAAAGAGGCACGAAAUCUGGAUUGUAGUCAACUAAAAAUCGAUCAUCGCGAAGCAGCAUAACUGACAGCCAAAGCAAGCUUUUAGAUCUAGAGGAGAAAACCGAGGAGGCGGAACUGCGUGCUUCUACUGAACGAGGCAGGAUUGUAACCGAAUUGCAGAUUCAGCAUGACCUGGCAUCGACGACAGCACAAAGGAAAGCUGCGAGAAAAGUUGAGAUGCUGUCUAGAUCGAGUACUUCGAGUAGAUCGAGUGCGUACACUAAUGCGUCCAAGCGUGUUGAGAAGUGGCUUGCUGAGUCAGGAAAGAUACCUAAGGCCACACAACGAAUAUGAAGAAUCAUCCCACCGGAUGGAUCCUGCGUUUUCACGAGGAACCGAAGGACCUGGGGUGAACGACAUUUUGUCUCAGGCGUUGCAGAGUCGAAAUAUGAACGGACGAUUUUCGAAAACGAAUUUAAAACGUAAACUAAGGAGUAUAAGCUAACUGAUCACGAUAACCUGAGACGGUUGAAUAAAGCGCUGCAAGGUAAAGCGCGCAGGACUAGAAUCACUGCUUGUAUCCCCUGAGAAUGUGCAGCAUAUUAUACGAAUGUUGCAGUCAAAUUUCGGACGCACCGAAUGGGUGGUGGCAAAUAGAUUGGAAGCGAUAAGAAACCUGGAGAUCGUAAAAGAAAGUAACUUCGAAUCUUUCCGUGCCUUUUAUAAUUGCGGUUAUUGGGUUGCGAUUGCCAACGCGAAGGCGGAUAACUACCUGAUGGCUAUCCGAACUCAUCUCUCACCUGGCUAAUAAACUGCCUUGCCUGUGUGCAAAAUGUGCGGGCACGGUCUAGUAUUGUGCCUUUUCAGCGGCAAUACAUAUCAAAAAUGUUUCGGGUUAAUGUUUAUCAGGCCAGUCUUGUGGUGCUCAGGUUGUGAGUUCGAUGAUCAUUGGGUUGGAUAAGAAGAUGAGCAAUUCGCUUUCAUUUCUGCCUUUUACUGAUGCCCGGAAAAACAUCGAUGCACAGAAAAACAUCGCAUUAGAUAACGGAAUAGAGAAAUUGAUUAGGUCUAACGAACAGAAUUUGAAGAGCCGAAGUGUUGGAAAUCAAAUUAACUCGAAGAAAAUCGUCGCAUGCCCGAGUCCUGAGGAAGUCCCUUAAUAUUUAUUUUUUAUAGCUUAAAUAUAUGAAAAACCCACGGCUCCUUUAAGCUAACUCGUUGAGCCGUGUCAAAUGAAUGAAAUAAAUCCAAAGCUCGUUGAAUGUGAGCAUCAAUAUCUAAGAAUCAAGUCGAGCUACUGAUCAUAGAAGACGACUGUACGAAACUGCAUGUGAGUAUCAAAACUGAUUGCGGUUCAUUUAAUCGCAGUCGCACUGAACAAGCAUUCCUAAAAUCUAUCGUAAAUCGAGGUUAAGACCAAAGUUAUAACAUUAUAAUCUACCACUUUUAACACUUUACUUUUCUUUCAAGUCAGUGUGAAAGAUUAUGAACUCUUCCGAGUUAAUCCACAUUUGUUCACCCUUUUACUACGCUAACAUAAGUU
Topomyia yanbarensis is the source of this 2091-nucleotide long non-coding RNA. RefSeq lists it as uncharacterized. NCBI's taxonomy places the organism in Eukaryota, Metazoa, Arthropoda, Insecta, Diptera, Culicidae. The transcript is spliced from 3 exons. The record is from RefSeq and is a predicted model, not a curated record.